This 74-nucleotide transfer RNA is filed under the name Dendropoma nebulosum. RNAcentral's name for it is "tRNA-Pro". The record is from RNAcentral. Lineage: Eukaryota; Metazoa; Mollusca; Gastropoda; Littorinimorpha; Vermetidae.
UCAUUUAUAGUUUAAGGUUAAAAAUCUUAGCAUUGGAAGCUAGUAUUCAUGGAAGGAGAAACCAUGUAAAUGAA